Poecilia reticulata (guppy) is the source of this 883-nucleotide long non-coding RNA. RefSeq lists it as uncharacterized. The record is from RefSeq and is a predicted model, not a curated record. NCBI's taxonomy places the organism in Eukaryota, Metazoa, Chordata, Actinopteri, Cyprinodontiformes, Poeciliidae.
CACUGUACAGUUUUCCAUGAGGAGAUUGUCCUGUGGUUCCUUUUCUCCUUUUUUUGUUCUCUGCAUUUCUGUCUUUUUCUUUCUGAAUCACCAUGACAUGGUCCAUCAAUAAAUUACAGCAAAAGCGUAAAUGUGAAUUUUGUAGUCACUUCCCAUGACUAAUCAAUUCUUAUCGUAAGUCUUAUCUGUACAUAGAGAAACUAUAACUUAUUAUUUUGAGUCACUGAUAUGUUAACUGACAGAAUUUUGAGAGCUGAACUAAGAAUUUUUCAAGCAAACAAAUGCUAUUUUUGCUGUUACUACAAAUUGUUUUGAGAAAUGCGCUUACUGAUUUGUAAAUGCCAACAAUGACUUGAGAAAUGCACCAAAAGUGACUGAGAAAAACUAACAUAGCAUAAAUCGUCUCAGGUGUAUCCAUUUGUUUGCCUGUAUGAAAAGUGUACACAUUUACAGCUUUGUUUCUGCUAGCUUGCAGGAAUUGUAACUUACAUAAAUGGUUGAAGACAACUUAUUGGCCUUCAUGAGACUCAGAUAAAUGGUUGCAGAGAGGAUCAGACCUGUCAACAACAAACAAAGAUUUAAGAACUACUGACUUUUCAGUCAGAAAUGAUCACACCGCCUGGUUGAAGUCUCCAUAUGCAAGUCAACAAAGCAGAGAGGAAACACUCGAUUGACAACAUGUGAGUCUCAAUUUCAACCUGUGACUGGAAAGACUACAACCAUCCUGAGCAAAGUCUGAACUCAGUGACUUGUGACUCUCAACCCAGAACAAGAAUCCUUUUAUCACCGGUUUUUCUUCUACAGUAGGUUCUCUUUUAUGUGGACACAUGCAGUUUUUUUUGUUUGUUUUGUUUUCCAGAUCUCAGUAAUACCAUGAGGAAAC